Molecule: long non-coding RNA, 1404 nt
Organism: Mauremys mutica (yellowpond turtle)
Lineage: Eukaryota; Metazoa; Chordata; Testudines; Geoemydidae
Exons: 3
Source: RefSeq, a predicted model, not a curated record
UCACCAGCAGAAGGUGGGGGGAAGAGCUGCUGGAGCUCAAGGUAUGAGGAAAGGUUGAGAACCACUGUGCUAGAGACUCACCGGAUCUAAUGGUGGUUACAGAUGGCCCAACUGAAUGGAAUGUGGGCAGGAAUAGCACAGAGACCAGCAGGGAAGCUCAGUAUUAAGACACAGAGGUGGAACACAAAAGGAAUAGCCACACAAGAUCAGAGCAGGUGUCCAUCCAGUCCAAUAUCCUGGCUCUGACAGUGGCCAGGACCAGCUCCUUCAGAAGAAGAUCUAAUUCCUUCUUUUUAAAUAUUCGGGACUGGCAGUACUGGAAUGAAAUGAUUGAAAUGAUCAGCAUUCAGCCUGAUGCCAUGAAAACUAAUCUGAGGAGCGAAAUCAGUGAUGAACAAGGAACCAGCCGGAGGGUGGUUUCCAGUGGUCCAAAGAACACAUGAAGUGUGCCUCAAAGGGAACUACAAGGAUCUUGUUUCAUUGAGAGCAGCAUGUGACUUCAGCAGCUCUCUGUUUUUAAUGCGUAAUGUAUCAGUUCUGUGUAUGUUUUAAUGCUUUCCCCUAUCCCUUGCAGGGCAGGCUUGCUCCCACUCUUCCUCUACCACCAGAAGCUGCAAUGCCAAGUGUUCCCCCACACGGUAUCUCAAAACACUUCACAACCCCCUGAGGUGACACCAGGGACAGCACAAGACCUACGUGUGUAUCACUUAAUUCCAUUUAAGCCCUAUUUUGGCCCAUUGCAUAGGCAUGAAAUGGAUACCAGUAGUGCAGUGACUGUGCAGACAAAUGGAGCAGUGCGAUGGGAACCAGACAUUUUACCUUUGGAUUUUUCUCUAGUCUCAGAUUCGUGUACCCAAUCAAGUGCUAGUUCCUCCAAGUUAAUUAUCUUAAUUAAUAACUUACAAAGCACCUUCCAUUCAACAAGCUCAAAGAAUUUUACAACUAUGAAUGAAUUAUACCUCAACUACUAGGUGUGGUAUUACUAUUUAUACCAAUUUUACAGAUAGCCAAACUGAGACACUGAGAAAUUAAUUGAAUUGCUCAAGAGCCUACAUAGCAAGGACACAAAAGUCAUCACACAAGUUCUCUUACUGUAACCACUAGACAGCACUUCCUUUCCAGCUUUUGGUUUUCACUACUGGAAUUACAGUGUACAGCACGUGACAGUGCACGUUAGACACUGGGCGAACUUCUACCCUCAAUUAUACCGGUGCAACCCCAUUGAAGUCCAUAGGGUUGAACUGAUGUAACAGUGGAGAGUUUGGUUGGGUAGAAAACAUAUUUUUUCAUAGAUUCCAAGGCCAGAAGGGACCACUGUGAUUAUCUAGUCUGACCUCCUGUACAACACAGGCCACAGAACUUCCCCCAAAAUCAUUCCUACAGCAUAUAUUUUUAAAUUGUCAG